This 253-nucleotide ribosomal RNA is filed under the name uncultured bacterium. RNAcentral's name for it is "partial 16S ribosomal RNA". It matches the Rfam family "Bacterial small subunit ribosomal RNA", at positions 524 to 776 of the family's 1533-position model. The record is from RNAcentral.
UACGUAGGGUGCAAGCGUUGUCCGGAAUUAUUGGGCGUAAAGAGCUCGUAGGCGGUCUGUCGCGUCUGCUGUGAAAACCUGGGGCUUAACCCCGGGCCUGCAGUGGGUACGGGCAGACUAGAGUGUGGUAGGGGAGACUGGAAUUCCUGGUGUAGCGGUGAAAUGCGCAGAUAUCAGGAGGAACACCGGUGGCGAAGGCGGGUCGCUGGGCAACAACUGACGCUGAGGAGCGAAAGCGUGGGGAGCGAACAGG